AUGAGCAUCCAGAGAGGCUGCCUCUUGGGCCAGCUCUCCGUGACGCCCUUGUUCGUCAGCGACUUCACUGCUUGCUGGCUCGUCAACAUGGCAGCUUACGAGGCCUCCGUGGCCAUCACAUAUCCAUCAGACGGCUUCGCCAUCAGCUCGUACAUCUCUGCCCUAGCAAUGCUCAUGGACAAGGAAGAGGACGUGCACCAGCUGCGAGCCAAGCACCUCAUUCACAGCUUCUUCAGUGACCAUGAGCUGCUUGUUUUCUUCAAGAGCCUCGCCCGCCACAUGCGCCUCGGCCACCGCUACUUCGUCAUCACAGAGAAGAUUCACAACUUCAAGCGUGAAAGGCCUCUGAGAAUCACCAUGCAUAGGUUCGUCUACAACAACUUCAGGGUCAUCGUCGCGGUGCUCUCUAUUGUAAGUGUGCUCGUGGGUAUCUUCAGAACCUUGAUGAGUCUCAAGCAGCAUCAACCAUAG
Molecule: ribosomal RNA, 471 nt
Filed under: Triticum aestivum (bread wheat)
Lineage: Eukaryota; Viridiplantae; Streptophyta; Magnoliopsida; Poales; Poaceae
Description: partial small subunit ribosomal RNA
Source: RNAcentral